UCUGGAGUGGCCUCACAGACCAAAUCUGACAGGGAUUCCUGGAGGACAGUCAUUGGCCUCAGGAUGGUGCCUCCCUCUGGGUCAGCAGAUAGGGUCCACUUCAGAUGACCUCACCCUGGGGGGCCAUCCCAUUGUCUCCAUACUGGGUAGAUGAGCCAGGAUCAGCCCUCAACCCCCUUGACAGCUCCAUCCACGGCUAGCAGACCAACUACUGGUUCCCCCAUAAUGACAGAGUUGAAUAAAAAACAGGACAGAAACAGCCCAUAUAGCUCAUAGGAACCGCCUGGUUCUAGAAAACAUGAAAAACAACAGUAACAAAUAAACUGCCAGGAAAUCCCUUGGUGGCCCAACUACCAACCCACAUGAAUGGCGCUGGCAGAAGACACUCAGACAGAUAGACAUGACCAGACACCUGGAAUGAAGAGGUGGGGACUGUCCUCCUGGAACCCCUGGGAAUAGAAAUUCAUGAGAAGAAUUUCCGGUUUUCCCCAGAGUAUCCUAAAGGCCAGUCAUUGGCCUCAGGACAUACCAGAGCCCCUACAACUGGGUGGAAUUCCAGAGUACCAGCCAUGUCUGAACCAACCUCUGUAGGAACUUCCAACUGAAAGCUGCAUCAGCAAAAGCCCAAAAGUCAACCUUAUAAUGUUUAGAGAAGGUGUGCAUGGAUGCUCAAGUAGCAGCCCUACAGAUGUCCAGGAUAGGGAAGUUUCCCUCCACACCACUGAAAUUGAAGCUUCUUUCAACAAGUAAGCAGUUAAAUGUCCAGAUAGGAGUUUCCCCAGAGCCUGGUAGGAUCAGAAAUUGAGGAGGAUAAAGCUUUCCGCCCCAGGACUGUCCCCCCAAAGGAUACACACAAAGCCUCAGCUUCCUAAAAAGAGAUGUCUUACCCAAAUAGAACCAAAGAGCUCUACACACAUCUAAAGUAUGCCAGGCCUUCUGCCUAGAAGAAGGAUUCAGACAAAAAGACAGUAGAACCACCUCCUGUGACCUAUGAAACGGAGAACUUUGGGAAUGAAAGAAGGAUCUGUUCUAAGAACCACUUUAUCCUUAUGAAAGACACAUAAGUGAGCAUGCAAGGAGAGAGCCCCGAGCUCAGACACCUGACGAGCUAACGUGAUUGCCACCAGAAAAAACCCUCUUCAGUGUGAGAAACCUCAGUUCAAACGUAGCCAAGGGCUCAAAGGAGGGGGGGGCAUGAGCACUGUCAAGAUCCAAUUGAGGUCCCAAGUGGAAAAGCAAUGAACCACCAGGGGAUUCUUCAGGCUUACACUCCUGAUGAACCUUCUAAAAAACCACACUCCCUAAAACACGUGAGUUUCCAAGUGUGCUCCCCAGGUGAACAUGCUGGUAUCCUUCAUGUAAACUCUGCAUACUGGAACGCGCCAGCUAACCCCUUGUACCAGCUGCUGGGAGGCUAGCCAUUACUUCAAUUGCCGAUGGAAGUCCAGUGAAAUUGGAAUCAUCAUGUGCCUUGCCUUGGAAAUCUGAGUUCACCAGGUCCUGACAGGAGAUCAUCAUGCUCUGCAGUUUGGACAAGGUCAUCAGGCCCAUCAAUUCUGAGGUGAUCACUUGCUUGAAUCUUGGAAAUGUGUCCGUCAGUAAGCCUUCGUUGAAAUGUCCUUGAAUCUACCUGUACCCCAAAAUGAGUAAUCACCUGUGUUGGAUCCAAAGCACUCUUGUUCAUGUUCACUACAAACCCCAUAUCUCUGAAGACAUGCUAGUGUGGUGUCCACAUCCUCCUUGCACUGAUUCUUUGAUGGUGGCCUGAUGAGCAGAUUGUCAAGAUAAAGAUGUACCUUCGUCCUCAGGUGUUCCACCAGAACAACUAAGACCUUGGUGAAAACCCUGGGGGAGGUGGUGAGCCUGAAAGGGAGAGCGCUAUACUGGUAGUGGCCUUGACCAUAGCUAAAUGGCGAGUACUGUCUGUGUUUCUUUUGGAUGGGGAUGUGAAUUUAGGCUUCUGAAAGAUGUAUGGAUGCCAUCCAAUCAUUCUGAUUGAUGACCUCUGAAAUGGACCUCAGUGUUUCCAUCCAGAAACAUUUGUAGGCCAACUUCCUGUUUAGCCAUUUGAGAUUGAGGAUGGCCCUGUUAACCCCAUUUUUCUUCGGGACCAGGAAGAAAAUGGCCGAAAGUAUCCAGUAUGUCCUUCAACACUUCUAGGUUAGACACCCAAGCACUAUCUGGCUUUCUAAGAGGCCAAUGAAAAAUGGUUAUACUACAUACCACCUUAGUAGGAAACAAGUUCUCCUGUCAAGUCAAACCAACACCAGAUGUUUGCUGUCCUGAAUAUUGUUUCUUAAUUUCAUCUCCCAGCAAAUUUCUUUCGUGCAGUGCUGGUUCUGGAUUGGAUUGUUGGCUGGAUUCUCACUGGAGGGCGUCAUACCGUUCAUCCAGGAGAAUUAGAUCUGGGUUUGAUAGAGUCAAGUUACAGUCCUCAGUGAUAUUUCCAAAAACAUCUUCUCUAGGUUAGUUGGCUAUUAUAGUCUCUGCGUUGGGCCCCUAUCCAGCAUUAUCUCUUCCAAAUGCCAAGAAGCCUGAACUUUAAAAAGGGGGGAAUCAGUAGAAGCUCUUCUGGCACCCCAAAACUCAGAAUCAGCAGCUUGAAGAUCAGCUGGGCUGCCUGAAAAUGCAUUGGGUGGAGCCGCUCUUAUUAUUCCCAAUUCUAUCAGGGCAGCUAUUGAUUGAAGUAUAGCUUUCAGACCAGAAAUUUCUUGUUUAAUGGAAGAUAAAUUGCUGAAAAUAUUUUGAUUAGUUUGAGCAGAAAGGAAACACUGGUCUCUUAAAUAUUUGAAUAUAUUCUGUACCUGUUCACAACUUAGCUUGCCUGCGUCCUUUGUGGGUCUUUCCUGAGGACUUGUGAUAUACCUGGAUGGAGUAAACUUUACAUUUUCUUGCAGCAAGCCCGUUUAAGUCCUUUUCCAGAAAAUCUGGGUCCAGUGACCAAUUGUCAA
Long non-coding RNA from Rhineura floridana, 2951 nucleotides. RefSeq lists it as uncharacterized. NCBI's taxonomy places the organism in Eukaryota, Metazoa, Chordata, Lepidosauria, Squamata, Rhineuridae. The transcript is spliced from 3 exons. The record is from RefSeq and is a predicted model, not a curated record.